Molecule: ribosomal RNA, 465 nt
Filed under: uncultured bacterium
Lineage: Bacteria
Description: partial 16S ribosomal RNA
Rfam family: Bacterial small subunit ribosomal RNA
Source: RNAcentral
GAUGAACGCUGGCGGCGUGCUUAACACAUGCAAGUCGAACGAUGAAGCUCAGCUUGCUGGGUGGAUUAGUGGCGAACGGGUGAGUAACACGUGAGUAACCUGCCCUUAACUCUGGGAUAAGCCUGGGAAACUAGGUCUAAUACCGGAUAGGAGCGCCUACCGCAUGGUGGGUGUUGGAAAAAUUUAUCGGUUUUGGAUGGACUCGCGGCCUAUCAGCUUGUUGGUGAGGUAAUGGCUCACCAAGGCGACGACGGGUAGCCGGCCUGAGAGGGUGACCGGCCACACUGGGACUGAGACACGGCCCAGACUCCUACGGGAGGCAGCAGUGGGGAAUAUUGCACAAUGGGCGAAAGCCUGAUGCAGCGACGCCGCGUGAGGGAUGACGGCCUUCGGGUGGUAAACCUCUUUCAGUAGGGAAGAAGCGAAAGUGACGGUACCUGCAGAAGAAGCACCGGCUAACUACGU